ACAAAGCUCGUUACUCGGAGAGCCCAUCCAAGAAUUGACGGCCUUGCUCUGUAAUCCUGAUACCGUCGCCAACUUCUUCGGCAAAUCCCCGAGCAAAGAUGUUCGUCGAAGUACCUUUGUGGGAUUUUAGAUUCCGAACGAUCUGACUAAACUUGGUGUCGUUCCGACCAUCGAGAAUUUCUGCGUCUUCUCCACUGGGAGCGAACUCAGCAGAUAACUCGUUGAUCAGGUCCGACGUAGAAAUGUAACCACCCUUCCUUGCAGCAGCCGCGCGCAGAGCGGGAAUCCGAACGUGCUUCUCGCGAAUACAACCACCACGAAAGAGCUUCUCUUUAGGACUCAGCAUUGCUUCAAGUCU
This 358-nucleotide unclassified non-coding RNA is filed under the name Hevea brasiliensis (rubber tree). The record is from RNAcentral. Lineage: Eukaryota; Viridiplantae; Streptophyta; Magnoliopsida; Malpighiales; Euphorbiaceae.